GACGAACGCUGGCGGCGCGCCUAACACAUGCCAGUCGAACGAGCGAGAGAGAGCUUGCUUUCUCAAGCGAGUGGCGAACGGGUGAGUAACGCGUGAGGAACCUGCCUCAAAGAGGGGGACAACAGUUGGAAACGACCGCUAAUACCGCAUAAGCCCACGACCCGGCAUCGGGUAGAGGGAAAAGGAGCAAUCCGCUUUGAGAUGGCCUCGCGUCCGAUUAGCUAGUUGGUGAGGUAACGGCCCACCAAGGCGACGAUCGGUAGCCGGACUGAGAGGUUGAACGGCCACAUUGGGACUGAGACACGGCCCAGACUCCUACGGGAGGCAGCAGUGGGGAAUAUUGCACAAUGGGGGAAACCCUGAUGCAGCGACGCCGCGUGGAGGAAGAAGGUCUUCGGAUUGUAAACUCCUGUUGUUGAGGAAGAUAAUGACGGUACUCAACAAGGAAGUGACGGCUAACUACGUG
RNAcentral lists this ribosomal RNA (466 nucleotides) under uncultured bacterium. Its description in RNAcentral is "partial 16S ribosomal RNA". It matches the Rfam family "Bacterial small subunit ribosomal RNA", at positions 28 to 507 of the family's 1533-position model. The record is from RNAcentral.